GACGAACGCUGGCGGCGUGCUUAACACAUGCAAUUCGAACGGAAAGGCCUGCUUUCCCUUGUGUAUUGCGGGUACUCGAGUGGCGAACGGGUGAUUAACACGUUACUUAUCUGCCCCCAACUUGGGUAUAAGCCUGGGACACUUGGUCUAAUUCCCUAUAGGACUGCAGGUUGGUUCCUGUGGUGGAACACGAUUUUCUCGUGUUUGUGGAUGCGCUCGCGGCAUAUCAGCUUGUUGGUGGGGUAAUGGCCUACCAAGGCGGCGACGGGUAGCCGGCCUGGGAGGGGGGACGGUGAAAUUGAGACGGAGGGAAGGCCCAGACGGCUACGGGAGGUAGCAGUGGGGAAGAAAGGAGAAGGGGCGGAAGCCUGAUGCAGCGACGGAGCGUGGGGGAUGAAGGGCUUGGGGUUGUAAACUCAUAGGGACGGAGAGGAAGGCAACUGGUUGGAAGGGUGGUGACGGUAGUGGUAGAAGAAGCAACGGCUAACUACGUG
This 494-nucleotide ribosomal RNA is filed under the name uncultured bacterium. Its description in RNAcentral is "partial 16S ribosomal RNA". It matches the Rfam family "Bacterial small subunit ribosomal RNA", at positions 28 to 507 of the family's 1533-position model. The record is from RNAcentral.